CGCGUUUUGGAUUUAAAAAUAUAUGUUGUCGUGUCCUGAUUGGUUCCUGAGCACGCGUGUUUCACUUUAGCGUGUGUUAUAAUAUUUUAUUUGCUGAAGGCGGUAGCUAACACCAAAGGGCGCUUGGCCCAGUGGAAGGGGGUUGACCCCAUGACUUAAUGGUUAGGGAUUCAACCCCCAUCAUGUCCAUUGUAAUGUUUU
RNAcentral lists this long non-coding RNA (201 nucleotides) under Lathyrus oleraceus (garden pea). Its description in RNAcentral is "Pisum sativum (pea) long non-coding RNA (PSAT_LNC000345)". The record is from RNAcentral. Lineage: Eukaryota; Viridiplantae; Streptophyta; Magnoliopsida; Fabales; Fabaceae.